UUAUAAUAUUUUAUGUUCUAAAAAAAAUGUAUGCUUAAAUGUUACAGAAGCAAAAAGUUGCAUAAAAGGAAAUAAAUUAAUACAAUGUAAAAUUGUACGUUAAAAUAAAAUUAGUAAAAAAAAAAAAAAAAAAAAAAAAAAAAAAAGGCAAAAAAAUUGUUUUUUCUUUAAUUUCAUUUGACUUUAAAUAUUUGUUCAUAUACGUAUGGACUAGUGAAUUAUUUUGUUUUUAUUGCAUACAUUUAUGGUUUUUUUUUUAAUUUUUUUUUUUGAAUGUCUUAAUGUUUUAUUUUAGUGUGAGAAAAAUUACAGAUACGAUCUUAUUUCUCCAGCAAAGGGUUCCUGUGUUUACUGCAGUUUUAAAUCUUAUCUUGCAAUAUGUUACUUUAUAGCUUUCAUAGUUUUUAUGAAUAUUUUAAGAGUAGUAUGUAUUAACAAGCCGUUAGAAAGUAAAAUAAUAAAUCUGUAUAUCAAAUAUACACAGUAUAUUGCAAUUUUUAGAUACGUAAACUCAAAUUACGACGACUACACAGUUAAGCUGUUGUAUGCAUUAGCAGCGGGUGUACCCCUUAACGAAGUGUUAGAUUGUAUAUUUAAGGUAAAGAUAGAUUAAGGGAUAAUAAUGCGUGCAGACACACACAUAUAUAUAUAUAUAUGUUUACACAUUUGUAUGAGCAAAAUAAGAACAAUAAAAAAAAAACAAAACGUUAUCUUCUGUUAGACUGAUUAUAAAACUACCACUCAUGAAGAUGAAUAUCUUUCAUUUUUAUUCUUAUUCUUAUUCUUAUUCUUAUGCUUAUUCUUAUGCUUAUUCAUAUGCUUAUUCUUAUGCUUAUUCUUAUGCUUAUUCUUAUGCUUAUUCUUAUGCUUAUUCUUAUUCUUAUUCUUAUUCUUAUUUUUUUUUUUUUUUUUUUUUUUGCUAGGAUGGCAUGAACAUUGAAAGAAUUACAAACAAAAUUAAUUUUCUAUUAUUUUUACCUUUACUGAUUUCAGUGUGCUCUGCUUUUUGUGCAUAUCAAUUUCAUCGCUAUGGGAAAAAAUUAAAAUACAAAAAAAAUCGAAAAACUGAUUCCCUUUUUGAAAAAUCGGAUGUAAACGAAAAUGAGUUGUAUGAUACGAUGGUAAAAAACAAAACCUUUUUUCAAAUGUUUCAAAAGUCUUACUUUAAGUACUCUACUAAAAAAAAAAAAAA
Molecule: long non-coding RNA, 1192 nt
Organism: Piliocolobus tephrosceles (Ugandan red Colobus)
Lineage: Eukaryota; Metazoa; Chordata; Mammalia; Primates; Cercopithecidae
Source: Ensembl